GGAUUAGCGGCGGACGGGUGAGUAACACGUGAGUAACCUGCCUUAGACAUUGGGAUAGCCUCGGGAAACCGGGAUUAAUACCAAAUAAAAUCAUAAUGACACAUGUCAUAACGAUCAAAACUCCGGUGGUCUAGGAUGGACUCGCGUCCCAUUAGCUAGUUGGUAGAGUAAAAGCCUACCAAGGCGACGAUGGGUAGCCGGCCUGAGAGGGUGAACGGCCACAUUGGAACUGAGAAACGGUCCAA
RNAcentral lists this ribosomal RNA (245 nucleotides) under uncultured Eubacteriales bacterium. RNAcentral's name for it is "uncultured Clostridiales bacterium partial 16S ribosomal RNA". It matches the Rfam family "Bacterial small subunit ribosomal RNA", at positions 89 to 334 of the family's 1533-position model. The record is from RNAcentral. Lineage: Bacteria; Bacillati; Bacillota; Clostridia; Eubacteriales.